UACAGGGGGUGCAAACGUUGCUCGGAAUCAUUGGGCGUAAAGCGCACGUAGGCGGUUCGUUAUGUCGGAUGUGAAAGCCCUUGGCUUAACCGAGGAAGUGCAUCCGAAACUGGCGAGCUAGAGUACGAAAGAGGAUCGCGGAAUUCCCGGUGUAGAGGUGAAAUUCGUAGAUAUCAGGAGGAACACCGGUGGCGAAGGCGGAUCUCUGGGCCAUAACUGACGCUGAGGAGCGAAAGCAUGGGGAGCGAACAGG
This 253-nucleotide ribosomal RNA is filed under the name uncultured bacterium. Its description in RNAcentral is "partial 16S ribosomal RNA". It matches the Rfam family "Bacterial small subunit ribosomal RNA", at positions 524 to 776 of the family's 1533-position model. The record is from RNAcentral.